AACGUAGGGGGCGAGCGUUGUCCGGAAUUACUGGGCGUAAAGAGCUCGUAGGCGGUAGUUCAAGUCAGGUGUGAAAUCCGACGGCUUAACCGGAGGACUGCACCUGAUACUGGGCUGCUAGAGGUAAGGAGAGGAAGGUGGAAUUCCAUGUGUAGCGGUGAAAUGCGUAGAUAUAUGGAGGAACACCGGUGGCGAAGGCGCCCCUCUGGACGGUAACUGACGCUGAGGCGCGAAAGCGUGGGGAGCAAACAGG
RNAcentral lists this ribosomal RNA (253 nucleotides) under uncultured microorganism. RNAcentral's name for it is "partial 16S ribosomal RNA". It matches the Rfam family "Bacterial small subunit ribosomal RNA", at positions 524 to 776 of the family's 1533-position model. The record is from RNAcentral.